RNAcentral lists this long non-coding RNA (266 nucleotides) under Homo sapiens (human). Its description in RNAcentral is "non-protein coding lnc-C3orf38-2:7". Lineage: Eukaryota; Metazoa; Chordata; Mammalia; Primates; Hominidae. The record is from RNAcentral.
CCAGAAAACCACAUUUUACAGUUUAUGAUGAUUAAUAGCAGCAGCAUGUUCAGUUUCGCUUAUAUGAGAAACAUGUUUAGGCAACUAGUCAGAAAACCAGCUAUGGCCUUACAGAAAGGGAAAAAUUAACCCAUUAUUAAAAAGUGUGUGUGGGGAGGGGGGCUGGUUUACAAUAUUAAACCAUUUAAAGUAUUUUAUUCUACAAAUGGGGUUUGUUUUCUUGUCAUGCAUAAUCAGAUUAUGUCCCCUCCCUUCUGGUUAAACAU